This 76-nucleotide transfer RNA is filed under the name Beutenbergia cavernae DSM 12333. RNAcentral's name for it is "tRNA-Asn (GTT) (tRNA-Asn-GTT-1-1)". It matches the Rfam family "tRNA". From Rfam's summary of the family: Transfer RNA (tRNA) molecules are approximately 80 nucleotides in length. Lineage: Bacteria; Bacillati; Actinomycetota; Actinomycetes; Micrococcales; Beutenbergiaceae. The record is from RNAcentral.
UCCCGCAUAGCUCAAUUGGCAGAGCAUUCGACUGUUAAUCGAACGGUUGGUGGUUCGAGUCCACCUGCGGGAGCCA